GCGGGUGUGGCGAAACUGGCAGACGCACCAGAUUUAGGUUCUGGCGCCUAACGGCGUGGGGGUUCAAGUCCCUCCACCCGCACCA
RNAcentral lists this transfer RNA (85 nucleotides) under Alphaproteobacteria bacterium HGW-Alphaproteobacteria-6. Its description in RNAcentral is "tRNA-Leu". It matches the Rfam family "tRNA". From Rfam's summary of the family: Transfer RNA (tRNA) molecules are approximately 80 nucleotides in length. The record is from RNAcentral. Lineage: Bacteria; Pseudomonadati; Pseudomonadota; Alphaproteobacteria.